CUUCUGUUUUUUGUCUACGCUUUACUUUUGUUUAUAUUUUAAUUUCUCUUCUUCUUAAAUAUAAUUUGAUUCAAUUGGAGUUACAAUGCAAGGUGAACUUAAAUCAUGUUAACCAGAAUGUCGUCUUAUCGUCAAGUUUUUUUCAUGGUGAUUAUGUUGAUGAUAAUAGUGAAUGGUUAAAUUGUCUCAUCUUUUAUAUGAAAUACAAAAAGGUCAAAUUCAAGUUAUUGUCACCAAAAGUCAGUUGUUGACGUCGCCUUCUCAUUGUUGGCAAACAAAGCCGAAAAGGUUAAACAAUUGGACAGAUGGAAGACAAUCAUUGUGAUUAAAAUCAAUCAUCAAUCAAUCAAAGAUUACUUAUUGAACACCCAAAUUGGAUGGACACAAUUUAAAGCAAUAUAGUGACAAUUUAAAGUUACAGUGAAGAGUAGCUGCAAUCAAGAUUCACUCUGGUUAAGUCAUGAGCAAAUUCAAUGGCAAUAAACGUGUCCAGGAAAAAAGACGCAAAGAUUGGCUAUAAAAUGGCAUCCAUUUGUUUAAUAAUUGAUGUAAUCAAGGAAACCUUGUAUUGGUCAAUUUUUUCAUAAUUUACAUUAAGUAAUGGUUAAGGAUAAGGCCAAUUCAAUAUAUUACACAAACUGCAAGAUUAAUGGUUGUUGCUGGCUAUUAAAGAUGAUGACAAUUGUGGCUAAAAAAUGGCAAAUCAACGUACAAUUGACAAUAUUUUUCCUCAAUCAACAAUAAACCUAAAAAUGUGUUCAAUUCAA
Molecule: long non-coding RNA, 767 nt
Organism: Tetranychus urticae (two-spotted spider mite)
Lineage: Eukaryota; Metazoa; Arthropoda; Arachnida; Trombidiformes; Tetranychidae
Source: RefSeq, a predicted model, not a curated record